UACGUAGGGGGCUAGCGUUGUCCGGAUUUACUGGGCGUAAAGAGCGUGUAGGCGGUCAGGUAGGUCUGCUGUGAAAACUCGAGGCUCAACCUCGAGACGUCGGCGGAAACCGUAUGGCUAGAGUCCGGAAGAGGAGAGUGGAAUUCCUGGUGUAGCGGUGAAAUGCGCAGAUAUCAGGAAGAACACCCGUGGCGAAGGCGGCUCUCUGGGACGGUACUGACGCUGAGACGCGAAAGCGUGGGGAGCGAACAGG
Molecule: ribosomal RNA, 253 nt
Filed under: uncultured bacterium
Lineage: Bacteria
Description: partial 16S ribosomal RNA
Rfam family: Bacterial small subunit ribosomal RNA
Source: RNAcentral